Molecule: ribosomal RNA, 242 nt
Filed under: uncultured bacterium
Lineage: Bacteria
Description: partial 16S ribosomal RNA
Rfam family: Bacterial small subunit ribosomal RNA
Source: RNAcentral
UACGUAGGGUGCAAGCGUUAAUCGGAAUUACUGGGCGUAAAGCGUGCGCAGGCGGUUGUGCAAGACCGAUGUGAAAUCCCCGGGCUUAACCUGGGAAUGGCAUUGGUGACUGCACGGCUAGAGUGUGUCAGAGGGGGGUAGAAUUCCACGUGUAGCAGUGAAAUGCGUAGAGAUGUGGAGGAACACCGAUGGCGAAGGCAAUCCCCUGGACCUGUACUGACGCUCAUGCACGAAAGGCGUGG